RNAcentral lists this long non-coding RNA (3897 nucleotides) under Homo sapiens (human). RNAcentral describes it as "HSALNT0353486". The record is from RNAcentral. Lineage: Eukaryota; Metazoa; Chordata; Mammalia; Primates; Hominidae.
CUUAUAUAGGCUGGUGGGUGCGGCGCCGCCAGCUGGCGCGAGGCUGCGCGCCUAUUGGCCGGCACCCGCUUUCUGAUGUAAAUGAGGCGGCGAGCCAGCGGCUCGUGCCAGAAGGCCACGUGGGGAGGGGUGCGGGGGAUGACAAUGCCUCAAAUCUGCCGCUUUUGUUGGGGUGUUACCAGGCAGACUGGAGCCUGCAGAUUUCAUCUCGCCUGGCUUUUUUUUUUUUUUGAAGUCCUUAAAAGGAAAAAGUAAAAAAAAAAAAAAAAGAAAAAACCCAACCCACAAAAACCUUGUUUGCUUAUAUGAUGCUGCAAUUUGCGAAAAGCACCUUUAUAGAAGCAAAGGGAUUUUUUUUUGCAUUUUGUAUUGCUACCUUUCUAUUUGUUUCUUUUCUUUAAUUUGAAGUCUAUGAGACUGUUGCAUUGGAGCCAGAAAUUAAGGUAAAAACAGGUAGCGCCAGUUAGAGGCUUGCAAAAGGCAGUGGGCACAGCCCCCUGCAGCUGACCACUAGCGUCCCGAGCGCGCUGGUGAUGCCUGCCAGGCAUACUCAAUGUGUACAUUGAGCCGUCUCUGGAAGAUCCCACCCCACCUCCCCGCCCUUGGCCGAGCGCGGCGGGGCGCGGGAGACGGGGGCGGGCGGGGACGAGCAGAUUGCGGCCGGCGCACGCCGCUCGUUUGCAUUUCUAUGGAGGGCGCACAAUAGCAGAGGUCUGGCGUGUGGCGGUUUGCUGUAGGGACAAUCGAGGCUUUCUCUUCAUAGCAACACUGUCCACCUGCCGCCGGGUGGGGUGGGCAGGACCCCGCCGCGCGUGGGGGUCGCCGGGCUGCCUGGCGCGUGGGGUCGAGGCUGAGUGCCACUCCGUGGUCCCUGAGUGCACGCCCCCAGUACUGGCCCUGCUACAAGUAAUUCCCUUCCAUCCGUUCCUCGCACGGGUGCCGAACAGCCGCGCGAGUUGGGAAGGACGGAGAGCUGCUGUGCAGUCUUCGCGGCUGGACGCCCUGUGGCCGGGACCCCGCGGCUGCAGCCCCUGGAGCUUAGGUAAUGCAGCUCGGAAUCUUUCCCGGGGCGCCAUCUGCAGGCAGGUUAAAAAGAUCCUGAACCCCUUUUGUCCUCCCCUCCCCCCAACACACACACCCUUGCAUUGGCCUGGCGCGGGGGAAGGGCGGUGGAGAGGGACGGCCACGGAGCUGCCCGGCCGGGCCCAGUGAGCCCUGUCCAAGCUGCGCAUAAAUAGAACCCGAGUAAGGGCUGCAAAACGCAUUCAGGUGGGACUGCAGUUACCCUGGGGAGUAGAGGGCAAAAGGAAAUUCCCAUCCAGUACUGAUGGAGUAAGAGCCCCUACGUCUUAUACCAUGUUGAAAUAUCUUAAUUACUUAAAUGCGCAUAUGUAAAAAGCCUUUUUUCCGGCAAUGGAAUAAGUCUGGAAGAGAUCUUGGGAGAGUUUAAUAGGCUAGAGGUUGCUGCCGUUUGACCAUACACGCUGGCACUUUCAGAGGAUUCACCCACUGAGCACCUUCUGUGCUACGUGAAAAGGCGCGCUGGGGGACACCUCAUUGCUUCCUUUUUUUGGGUGAAGCCUUGGAGACUGGCCAGGACAGUGGCGGGCCGGGUGGAUUGGAUGGAAACCCGGGCCCUGCCGCAAGACUGGGGCGAUAAUGGGAAAGUAAACAACGCCGUGGCUUUGUUCCUUUCAUUCAGGCUUUCUUCAGGUGCAUCUCAGAUGCCUUCCAGCAUGUGAAGGACACCAUUGCAUUGGCUCUCACCACCACCAUGCCCUCCUCCUUACCCAGGGUGAAGCAUGAAUCUGCACAUGGGGAGGCUUCAGAGGACAACUGAGACAAGAAGCAGGAAGCUGAGAAAGGAGGACACCUCCCACACACACAUCUAGCAAAAGCUGGACAUUUCUGGUCAGUCAUCCUUAUGCAAAGACUUUCUGGAAGGAGCAGUUAUUCUUGGGUGAGCACUUAUGUAGCAUGAAAGAGGUUAACAUUAGCCCAGGGAAAUCCUUCAAAGUAAUUGAGGGGGAAGGAUACAUUAUUUAUGCAUUUGUUCCCUUCUCUAUCGACAGUAAGAAAUGAUUCAUGGCACCUGUCACAGUCCUAGGUAGUGACAGACACCAGCCUGCACUGUAGCUGAAAACCCCUGAGAAGCCACAGAUGUGCAGUCUUCCCAGCUUGACUACAUGCCCAAGUCUUCUGAACCUUAGUUUCCCAACCUAGGAAAUAAAAAUUGUGCCCUUUACCCCUCAUGAACCUUAUUGGGGUCUUAUAAGAUUGCUCCUGGUUGCCAUUUGGCCCACAGAUGGGUUUAGUUUGGUGGACAGUGUCCCGAAAGACUUACAAAUUCAGAUCUGACUUGUUCAUUUGUGUAGGGGAGAGUUGGUGGCACACAUCCUCUCUGUCACUGUAAGUAUGUUCCAAAUGUCACAUUAGGUCCACUGGCACGUGUAAGCCCUGUCUGGCAUUUGCCUGGUCCCUGCAGGCAUUUGGGUUGGCAGUAAACUUUCUUUUCUAACAGAUUUCUGGAAAUGUUUACAUGUAGCAUAUAAUAGAAUAAUAGAACCACAGAACUUCCACAGUAAAGCCUUCCUUCUUUUAUGUUCCAAAAGCUAAAAUGUACUAACAACCUCCAAAAGGCACUAUGACAUUGGAGUUUAAACUUUGUGGAGCAGGACUCAAAGCUGGACUUAGCUGCUUGCUAACUUUGACCUUGAGUGAAGAGUUAGCAGAUGAUUUAAAGUGUAAAGUAGAAAGAAUUCAUGCUGGUUAGCCCAUUAAAUACCCGUUAAUUAAGCUCUCCAAAAACGCCAUUCAAAAAUGUAUAUGAUAAUCAAAUAUUUAUUGCAAUGUUUCUUAAAAUAGUGAAAAAUUAGAAAACAUUAUAGGGGGCUAGUGUUAAAUCAUGGUGUAACCAGAAAUGAAACAUUAUGCAACCAUAAAAAGGAGUUCUGAAGAGUAGUUCCCGGCAUGAUAUAAUGUGAAAAAAAGCAAAAUACGAAAUUGUGCAAUUCUAAUUUUGCAAAAACUUUCAGCGUACACGACUAUCACUGUAUAAAGUCACAAAGUAGGAAUGGUGAUUGUAUCUUGGAGUGAUGAGAUUAUAAGUGAUUUUUAAUUUUCUUCACUAUGCUUUACUGCAAUUAAACAUUUACAAUUCAAUUUUAUUUAACAAAAAUAUAUAAAACUUCUCAAAUGGAGUAACUUCAGUACCAGACAUCCUCAACCUGACUGCUCUGGAGGUUAUUGUGCAGAGCAAUCUUUGACCAUAUGGUCACAGAUCCAGAAGCCAGACGUCUGUGGGGCUUUGCUCCUGAGACUGUGACCUUUGAUUCCUGCACUCCUCCUCUUGCCAUCUGACGCCGGUCUGCGCCUGUGACUGAGUGAAAAUCGUCAUAACUGUACUCGGAGGUUAACUCUGGCAUGACUGGGAUGGAAUCCCAGGCAACAUGCUGGAGGCAGGAAAGAAGGCCAGCCGGCAAGUCAGAACCAAACACCCUGGACGGCACCUUUCCUUACAAAUGCGGUUCACAGGACCCUUGGGGAUCCUCUGCGCACACUGAGGCAAGCAGCAAUGGAAGAAAUUAUCUUCCACUCCCUUCUUGUUGAAAAUGUCUGUUUUCCAGAAAUGAAUUACAGUAAUAGAUUAUGAAAAUUGUUUCCAUUGCCUACAUAACACAGCAGGGAAUUCUAAAAUUUCAAAACAUGUAAUAUACUCAACCUGUGCUUGAGACUGUAGGGUAUUAUUUAAUUUUUCAGUGUUUGAAUUUUGUCUGUUUGAGAAGGGUGUGGCACUCCUUGAGUACACUAUUAGUAGUAUUGUUGUUAUUUUAUUUACUAGACUUUUCCAGGACUUGCUGUGCACCAAGCACUGUUCCAAGCACUUUGAAAACAUUG